AUUGAACGCUGGCGGCAGGCCUAACACAUGCAAGUCGAGCGGAUGAAGGGAGCUUGCUCCUGGAUUCAGCGGCGGACGGGUGAGUAAUGCCUAGGAAUCUGCCUGGUGUUGGGGGAUAACGUCCGUAAACGGGCGCUAAUACCGCAUACGUCCCGAUGGAGAAAGUGGGGGAUCUUCGGACCUCACGCUAUCAGAUGAGCCUAGGUCGGAUUAGCUAGUUGGUGGGGUAAAGGCCUACCAAGGCGACGAUCCGUAACUGGUCUGAGAGGAUGAUCAGUCACACUGGAACUGAGACACGGUCCAGACUCCUACGGGAGGCAGCAGUGGGGAAUAUUGGACAAUGGGCGAAAGCCUGAUCCAGCCAUGCCGCGUGUGUGAAGAAGGUCUUCGGAUUGUAAAGCACUUUAAGUUGGGAGGAAGGGCAGUAAGUUAAUACCUUGCUGUUUUGACGUUACCAACAGAAUAAGCACCGGCUAACUUCGUG
Molecule: ribosomal RNA, 484 nt
Filed under: uncultured bacterium
Lineage: Bacteria
Description: partial 16S ribosomal RNA
Rfam family: Bacterial small subunit ribosomal RNA
Source: RNAcentral